UUCUCUUUGUGUUUUGAAGGCCGGGUGUUUCCUCUGCAUUGGUCUUCACAUACAAUGCUGCUAUUUGCCCACCUUACAGGGUUAUUGUGGACACCAAUUUCAUUAACUUCUCUAUCCAAAAUAAGUUGGAUUUGGAGAAAGGCAUGAUGGAUUGCCUCUAUGCUAAAUGCACUCCAUGCAUCACAGAUUGUGUUAUGGCUGAGCUUGAAAAGUUGGGACAGAAGUAUCGUGUGGCUUUAAGGAUUGCCAAAGAUCCUAGAUUUGAUAGGUUACCAUGUACACAUAAAGGGACUUAUGCUGAUGAUUGCAUCGUUGACAGGGUUACUCAGCACAAAUGCUAUAUUGUUGCAACAUGCGAUAGAGACUUGAAGCGAAGGAUACGCAAGAUUCCCGGAGUGCCUAUCAUGUACAUUACCAGACACAGGUAUUCGAUAGAGAAACUACCUGAAGCAACUAUUGGCGGAGCACCGCGGUAUUGAACAACUUCUUUCAGUACAUGGAGCUUCUUCCUGAGUCAGAUAAUUUUAUGCAUUCUCCAUUACGAAUAAACAGAGCCAACCUGUGAGUCUUUGGGUUGUUUGUAGCUAGUAAAGCCUUGAAGGCGUUCAUGUAUCAACUUAUAGUUAAUCGAAAUGUCUGACACUAAGCUAUGUGGAGAUUAGGAAAAACAAUGGUGAUUACCACUGAAACUGAACUAAGCUUAUUAAUUAUGUGGGUUAUGAUUAUGAAAGUGUUUCAGAAUUGGAUUGAAUCGUUUGGUUGUAGCGUCUGUCUCAAGACAUGAAAGCCAAUUUGUUUCAUUUUAAAAUUGGAGUUUCCCCAUCAUUUCCAAUUUGAAUGUUUCUUGGGGUUUACUAUGGUGGUACCCAGCCAUGGUCCAAUAGCUUAAAGGGCCAUUGUCGACUUAGCUUGGAAAGAUUGCAUCAGACUGGAAAGGUUGCAUCAGACUCUGACACCUAGCCAACUACACUAAGUGAGCUUGGUAGCUUGUUAUGAUAAUAAUGGCCAUAGUCCAACAGCUUAAGGUUCAUUUUCGACUCCGAGUUCGGUUGCAUCCAACUUUUGAAACUCUAUUGAUUAAACAUCUUCAGUUAAUUACGAUUAGGUGUAUUGUUUUUAAUGGAUGGUGGAUCUAAUAAUACUGGAUUGAUGGGCUAUUAGAUGUGAGUAUUUUCUAAUUUAGUUAGAUAGCUGAUGAAAAGUUUUUGUAGGGUGGGACUGGUCACUCAUAUGAUUAAUCGACAUAAGUUGAAUAUUUGAUGCCAACUAAAUAAAAAAAGGUAAUCAAUCAAAGGACAUGUUCUUGAGCUCCUGGGUUAUAGUGUAAUGGCAGAACAUUUAUGCAGUCUCCCAAGUAUUCACGGUUCAAUUUCUAGUUACGAUGCAUUAUAGGAUAUUUCCUUUCAGUGAGAUGAAAAAUCUAGGAUGUUGGGUUGUUCGCUACUUGCACUUUUGGAUUUAUUUUAGUGACAGGUGAAAAAUUUUUAUAGGGCAAGAUCGAUUACCAUUGGAUUUAUUUUAGUGACAGGUGAAAAACUUUUAUAGGGCAAGAUCGAUUACUAGUAGAAUUAGUUGAUUCAAAUUGGUUGGGUAUCUUAUGUUCUCCAACAUUGAUGAUGGAAUAAACAUGGUUGAUCCUGUCUGAGAGCUGGAGAGAUGGCGGCUGGUUUCGGUGAUUGAUUUUUUGAUCAGCGGAAGACCUCUCGAUCCAGGAUGACGAAACUCCUCAACGCUCUUGCAUAUACUUCGAUGAUCCGAUAAAGCGUUAGUGACCAAAGCCUGAGGUGGAGAUCCUUGGCAAGACUCUCCAAUGCUCAAAUCAAUACAAUUCCGGUGGAAAAGGAAGAAGAAACAGUAGUGGGAAGGUUCGUGCGAAAGUAGAGUUACAGAUGCAGAGUUUACUUACUUUAUCAAUGGAGAAGAUCCCCCUUUUAUACCACCUCACAUGCCUCCGUGAUCAUGAGGUGGUCCCCGGUGUCUCAGAGUUUGUUAGGUGAUAGAGAAAGUACAUCAUGGGCAAUGUGCAAUAAUUGUUCGAGGAAUCUUUCUUCUACCCAUUGAUAUACCACUUUUGUCGCUUAUGUCUUACGCCUUUGUUGAGGCAGUUACGAGAAUAUGUUGUUAUGCUUAGCUGGCUUCUGAGGGACAUAACAACCUUCGAAGAAGGUUUCGAGGGAAUAUUCCCGACAAGUUCUGAUAAUCUGUUAUAAUGCUGUCGGAUGUUGUCUGCUGAGUAUAUCCCGACCGAUCCUUAAGGUUGGCCAUAUUCAAGUCUGUCCUUCCCUUAAGUUGCUUUAUUAUGUAUUGAGUGUUGUCGGGAAUCUGCUCAAGAACUAAUAUGAUGCAUAGAGUAUACUAGUAAUUCAUUCAAGGAGCUGUCUAACUAAUCAUUUAUGUUAAAGAACCAAUAUAAUGCUAAGUGCCCUUAUGCCCGGUCGGACCCUUGCUCGACUGAGCGCACACACAGAACCUUAUGUUUGACCUGUCUCUAUCCAACUGUUUGUAUAUUAAGAGCUUUAUAAAACUAUGUGCCCUUGAGCCCGGUUGGGCCCUUGCCCGACUGAGCGCACACACAAAACCUUAUGCUUGACCUGUCUCUAUCCAGCUGAUCGUAUAUUAAGAGCUUUAUAAGGCUAAGUUUCCUUAAACUUAGCUGGAUCCUUACCCGACUGAGCACACACACAGAACCUUAUGUUUGACCUGUCUCUGUCUAGCUUAUCGUAUAUUAAGAGCUUUAUAAGGCUAAGUGCCCUUAAGUCCGAUCGAGCCCUUGCCUGACUGAGCGCACACAGAAUCUUAUGCUCGACCUGUCUGUCUCUAUCCAGUUGAUUGUAUAUUAAGAGCUUUAUAAGACUAAGUGCCCUUAAGCCCUGUCGGGCCCUUGCCCGACUGAGCGCACACACAGAACCUUAUACUUGACUUAUCUCUAUCUAGCUGAUCGUAUAUUAAGAGCAUUAUAAGGCUAAGUGCCCUUAAGCCCGAUCGGGCCCUUGUCUGACUGAGCGCACACACAGAACCUUAUGCUUGACUUGUCUCUAUCCAGCUGAUCAUAUAUUAAGAGCUUUAUAAGGCUAAGUGUCCUUAAAUCCGGUCGGGCCCUUACUUGACUGAGCGCAUACACAAAACCUUAUGUUUGACUUGUCUCUAUCUAGCUGAUCGUAUAUUAAGAGCUUUAUAAGGCUUAAGUGCCUUUAGGCCCGACCAAACCUUGUUCUGUCGGGUCCAUGCAGAAAGGCUUAUCACUUGGUGAUUAAAGUAACCAGAUAAGGGAUAACCCUUACCCUACCACUAACUGUCAUCCUAUCAUGACUUUGACCAUCACGUCACUUUGACCUGGACGACCACAUCACUCUCGGGGUCCGCUUGCUAUAACUCGUAUCACUAGCCUCCCCUUCAAAUUUAGUCGAAGGAGGUGUAGCCAACUGACUAGACUCAAAUCUUAGUCUCGUUUGCUCACCUAUCGUGGCCAAUAUUUUCUUUGAAUUUUGACUAGCCCAACUAUCCUUGCACCCUAGGCCUUUUUGAAUAAUAAAAUAUCAACUUCUAUUUUCUAUCUUAACCGAUUAAACUUGAAACCUUCUCCUUCAAGUCUAGUCGAAGGAGGUGUAACCAGCUGACUAGACUCAAAUAUUAGUCUCGUUUGCUCACCUCUUGUGGCCAAUAUUUUUUUUGAAUUUUGACUGAUCCAACUAUCCUUGCACCCUAGGCCUUUUUGAAUAAUAAAAUAUCAACUUCUAUUUUCUAUCUUAACUGAUUAAACUUGAAUUCUGGUUUCGUCGAGUACUUAACAAUUUUCAAAUUUGCGCGUUGGUAUUUGGUCCUUCCCCAAAGAGAGAGAGAGAGAUGAAGAUGUGAUGAGGGAUGAUGCUUUGACAUCGAAAUGAUUUGGCUUGUCUCAUCCAUCAUAAAUGCCCAUUUAUGGGUGAAUGUCACGUGACACUAUUUCUCUCUCUUUGAAAUGAUUUUUGACGUAUGCUUCUACGUGCGCCUAAACGGCACCUCUCCCUUUAUGGAUCAAUAAUCCUCUAAGCGUAAGCCGUUUUGAUCCAAGGGUGCAUACUAUUGGAUUAAUCCUUAUAAAAAAAAAAUCCUAAACAAUCUUCAGACUUGACAUUUCAUCUUUUAUGAUUUGUUCUUCGGUGAUUUUUCUUUUCUGUAACACUCCGCGUUUCCUUGUUCUCACGGAACUUUUCUUACCGUCUUCUUCUCUUAGGGUUCCAGUAAGUCAUUCAUCUUUUAACUAUUUUUGUGUGUCCUUAUGGCGGAAGUAUCAUUAGCUCCUUAUUACACUCAUUUUCUCUUAGAUUUUGAUAACUCCGACAGAGCUGCCAUACGCCUUCGAUACGAAAUUCCUAAGGAUUACCGUAUCGUCAUUCCCAAACCAAACGAGCAUCCUUAUCAUCCUCUUGCUAAUCACAUUACUUUCUUCAAGUACCAGCUAAUAGCCGGUUUGCGCUUUCCUAUCCUGUCUUUCAUGGUGGAAGUAAGUCAAUAUUUUAACAUUCCCCUACAACAGUUCACCCCCAACGCCUUUCGCUAUCUAUGCGGGUUGUUCAUGCUAUUUCGCCCGUUCGAGAUUCCUCCAACACCUCUCAACCUUUUCUUUUUUUUCUUAUCCUAAGAAGUCAGACUUUGGCAUUUUUCUCUUUCAAUCUCGCCCUCAAAUGAUCCUAUUCGAGGAUAUGUCAUCUUCGAAUAAGGAUUGGAAAUCUCAUUUUUCCUUCUUAGAAUUACCUAAACCUGCCACUUGGUCAAUAGAAUGGCAGUCCUCUUUCUCUCAUCUUCCUGACUUUAAGAAGCUCAAACAAGAUCCUACAUUUCUUGACUAUUCUAAUAGGUUGAGUCUUCAUAUUCAUAAGUGGAUGCGCGAAGAUCUCCUAUAUUUGUUUGGCUUAAGCCCCAUUCAAAAGAGGCUAUCUUGUUCCUUCGGAGAGUUGCUCUAACUUGUCCACUAUCCUAUUACUAACUAAAGUAUUUUUCAUUUUAUGCAAUGGAUGCCUAUUUUGAUGCAUUGGUAGACAAGGUAAUUGGUCGAGUAGAAGAAGGAAAACUUCUUGCUAAAGAGCAAGAGCUAUUAACUGAACGGGGCUUACAACCAACUGCCUCAUUCGGUGAAGCUUCUAGUGGUCAAGCAACCGCAUUUAAUGCGGCCGCUGCUUCUGAGGAAUUGCCCUCUAAUUUACCUAUCCUGCUUGAGGAUAUUCCUCUGGAAGAGACUGCCCCUAAGAGAAAACGUAAAGGACGUAAACUUACUUUGGCUCCUUCUCUCAAGAGACAAACACUAUCUGCUCCAGAUGAUUCUGCCCAGGGGGGGAUACGAGAGCAACCCCUCGAACCAACUUUGUUGGCUCUUUAUCCUGCCCUCUCAAUUCCCGUCUGUAUUCCAACUCACGAGGAUAUUUCUAUGCCAAGUGCUAUUUCCGACCCUAGCUUUCUUAUGUCUUUUUGGGGAAAACUCCCCUUACCUACACAAAAACCGUCUGACCAGCCCUUCCCCAUUUUUUCCUUACCAUCUGUGCAAUUUUCCCUUUCUUCUUCAUCCACUUCCUCUGCUACUAUGCCUAUAUUAAUAGGGGAUCCUUUAAUAGAUGCUUGGGAAGAGGCACAGAAUAAGUUUAGCGAGCGGAUCUCUAUAGAAUUUGCAGACAGAUUUUCAUAUGAGCGAACCAAGCAAUGGGUAAUGGAUAUGAGCGUAGCUCGACAGUUAUAUGAUUUGGCUCAGGAAAACGAGUUGCUGAAACAACAAAUUCCUGAGGUAACUUCUGCCUCUACUCUUAAACAGAUAAAGGAUCUAGAAACUCAACUUCAAGAGGCUCAUAAGUUGGCCCAAGUUGAGCUCGAGAAAGCCAAUCAGUGGAAGACGGCCACAGAAAGUUUCGAAGCUCAACUCAAAUCAGAAACUAGUAUUCGGUUAGAUACCGAGACAAAAUUGAAUGAGCGAACUACUGAAUCUGUGUAGCUGUCCACUCAAUUACAAGAACUGAUGGUUGCUCAUGCCACCGAGCUAGCUGCUAGAGAAUCUGAGCGAAUAGCUCAGAAGGCUGAACAAAAUUCUCUAUUGGAGGAAACUCGAAAGGAAGUAUCAACAGUUUAAGCAGAAUUGGUAACCUACCAGGCGAGGGAGGAUAAACGAUUUGAGAAGAAGAAAACAACACUCCUCAAAUCAGACGAAAUCAGCACUCCCAUUGCUGAAUCCGCCGUUAAUGCCCUUACUCUUGGAGCUAAGGGGAUAAUAGAACGGUUAAGGGAGGGAGGUUACCUAGCAUUCGAACCUCCUGAUGGCUUUAUUGAUCAUUGGAGGCUAUUAAAAAAUUGUCCUCCCAACUUUUCCCCCAAAUUAAUAUAGUUUACUGCAUCUUCAUUUUUCAAUUGCAUUGUUUAAAGAACUUCUUAGCAAUUCUUAUAUUAAGACUUCUGUGUCGGCUUAUAUCUUGUUUCUGUCGAGCGAGAAUUUAGUUGGGAAAGUAAGACAUAAUCAAUUUUCGUUAGACUGUGUUCAACCUAACACUCGUUCAACCCUUAUUGAUUGGACGGAUUUACAUUCGUCUAGGUCUAUUUUCGUUCACCCAACCCUUUGUGACUGAAUGACUUAACCUUUGUUCAGGUCUAUUUCCGUUUGUCUGAUGACCCCUGGUGUUCGACCAGCAUAAAAACUUGUUUACAUUUUAGGAUGGGGCACACCAUAACUUCUAUUUACUGUUUAAAUAAAGGCUUCCCAUAUUGAUCAACGCUACGUCUCCUUGCCAUUAACUUGGCUCAGAAUUCAAAACCUUUUUUGGUAAUCACGCUGAUGCUUUGAGAUACCAACCCUUACAUCCGUUACUUGUAUACUUCCUUUAUUAGUGACAUGUGCGAACAUGAUGUCAUAAAUGUACACGAUUCCCCAUACCCGCCAUCUCACUCAACCAUCCCACGAUCCACAAUUAAUCCUGCUUCUUCCUCACUUACAAUCUGACGGCUUUACUUGAAAUGCACUUUCACAGAGUUCGUAUAAAAGUUCUGUGAAAAAAGGGGAGAAAACCCUAAGGCUUUCUUGUUGUCUUCUCCUUUAUUAUCCCUUCUUCCAUUUACUUCUCUGUUCUAUUAAUCCUUUUCCCCCUAACAUGGCUGAGGGUGAUGAGUGGAAUAGUUGAUGUUCCUCCCACUUAACUGUUGAGGACACUUAUGAACUCAAAUUCAACUAUGGCGUUCCUCUCGACAUAGUCAUUCCUACCGAAAAGGAUCGUCCUCAUCGCCCUCUACUCGAGAGCGUUGCUGUCUUCAGAGAGCAAGUUAUUUCUGGCCUUCGUUUUCCUUUACAUCAUUUCUUUAUUGCCGUGAGCCGGUAUUUUGGUAUUCCCCUACAUCAACUCCUUCCCCAAUCUCUUCAAAUCCUAAGUGGUGUCACUAUUGUCUUUCGUUUGCUCAAUAUCCCUUUAUCCCCUCGUCUCUUCCAUUAUUACUUCCUCGCCAGGUAGAGACUGGCUUAUUCAAAUUUUAAGCUCGCCCUAAAGUGAUUUUGUUUAAUAAAGUUCCAGCUCAGGAGGAAUGGAGGGAUAAAUAUUUUUUUAUUCGUCUUCUUCCUUCUUCGUCUUACCCCACUAUUUGGCUACAACAACUUCCCACUAUUCCUACUCUAGGCAAUCUUCACACGGACCUGACCUUAGGUCCCGUUCUAGAGUAUAUGAUAUGUCUAAAGUUUAGUCUGUCCCAGUUGACCGUAGAGGGCUUAUUAUAUCUUUUCGGACUUGCUCCGAUACCUAUUGAGUUAAGUGCCUCUUUCAGUAAGAAAUCUUGACAUCUAUCUUAGCUAUUCGUUAUAAGAACUUAUGAUGUUUCCUUAUUUUCAUAGCUAAAGCUAUUAGCAUGGCCUUCCUUUUCAAAAAGCCUCAGAUAACGAAAGAGACCUUAACCAGGAUACGUGAGGAUUUACGAAAGGAGUGCUAGCUCGCACAACUGUCCACCUCCACCGGUCCACCCCCAUGGUGGAACCUAUUUCUAAUUCCUCCUCAGAUUCAGAUGAUGUUCCCUUGAUCAGACGCACGAGGUCCCAGUUCACAACCCUAGGGUGUCAGAAUCUACCCCCAAAGAACAAACUCAUAUUACUAAGACUGAGGAUCUAUUCGUUUGAGGGAAAGAGCCUGCACCACUGGAACAUCGUCGGUAUAAUCUUCAACUUGCUAUGAUGUGACCAGGUAAAUUGAUCUCUACAUGUUACAAGGCCACACAAGCUUCCAAACCAAUCGGGAUGGUUAUAGAGGCAGUCAGGGCUUCAUCAGAACUAAUCAGGACAACUCCUAGAUCUCCUGUUCUAGGAGCAUUAGAUCUGAAUUUGCUCGAGCUUCCUUCCUCGACACAGAUUUCCCUUGGUGUAUCUGACAUCUCUGCUAUUCGGGUGACCAAAUCUGGACCGACGAAGCGUCCGCGGUCUCUCCUAGGGCCACCUAAAAAGAAGUUGGCCGGUACUAUUCCUCGUGUUGGAGGCUUUGUCCGAUCCCCUGAAUUAUUCCAGACAAUCCCUGAGCAUUCUCUUAUUAUUUCCCCAAGCUCCACUCCGUCAGGAUCCACUCCUUCAGGUGGUCCCUGACAUCUUUUUUGGUAAUCUUAUAUGUUACCUUCUCAACAAGGACCGGAAAUGACUGAUUCCUAAUCUUUCGAGACAAUUAAUGUAAGAGGUUCAUUGGCGGAUUGUUGGAUGCAAACUUACAGGCGCUCAAGAGGGGCUACCAUAUCUGAACGUGCUGAUGAGCAUGCUCAACACAUUUUUGCGUUUUGCGUUUCUGGAAUGCAAAUAAACCAGUUGGCCGUGGAUCUGGAGCGAGGCAACAAAGUUUUGAAGGAUUGCGAACAAGAGCUAGAAGUCGCUUUUACCGCUCCAAGUGCUGAAAUAACCCUCUUACGAGAAGAGGAUACAACUCAAACUGAGCUUCUUUUGGGUAUGGAAAAGAUCCUACAAGAGUAUCAGCAACUGACGAAGUCCCACCAAAUAGCUAAACAGAAAGUUAGAGCUUCUACUACAAACCAGCGAGUCCAAACUUCAAGUGGAAAGUGCCUUAAAAGAUAAAGCCUCUCCGACCUAGCUCACAAAACUACUCAACUAGAAGAGCUAUGCUUAUCCCUUGGGUCCAGAUAUCCUGAAUUAAUUCAAGAGAUAGCCGCUAAGAACUUUUUGCUAUUGAACCAACAGGAAAAACUGAGAGCCCGAGACGCAUAGCUGGCAUCCUUAUUAACUGAGUUAGAGGGUGUAAAAAUUGAUCAGGAUAAUAUCAAGGUUGAGCGAGACACUAUCCAAGCUGAGCGAGAUGCUAUUCACUCUGAGUUACAAGCAUAUAAAGAGGGGGAAGAUGAACGUCAUGAAGUUGCACGAAGAGCCUAUCUAGACUCUCCUAAAUUUGGUAAAGUAUUUGCCACUCGCAUUAUGAGGACUUUUACCCAAACAACUGGAGGGGUUAUUCAACAACUGCGAGAGGGUGGCCAUCUAUCAUCAGAAUCCCCUCAGCCUUCUAUAGAUCUUCGACGCCUCCAUAGAGAAAUCACAAAAGAUCUCUUAAGUAAGUUUGAUUGACUAUGUUGCAUUCUUAUAUUUUCUAGUUGUAACAAACUGAAAUAUAUUAUCUAAGAACAUUCAGAACAGUAAUUAAUUGG
Molecule: RNA transcript, 9624 nt
Organism: Zingiber officinale
Lineage: Eukaryota; Viridiplantae; Streptophyta; Magnoliopsida; Zingiberales; Zingiberaceae
Gene name: rRNA-processing protein FCF1 homolog
Exons: 9
Source: RefSeq, a predicted model, not a curated record